UUUGAUCCUGGCUCAGAGUGAACGCUGGCGGCGUGCCUAAUACAUGCAAGUCGAACGAUGAAGCUUCUAGCUUGCUAGAAGUGGAUUAGUGGCGCACGGGUGAGUAAGGUAUAGUUAAUCUGCCCUACACAAGAGGACAACAGUUGGAAACGACUGCUAAUACUCUAUACUCCUGCUUAACACAAGUUGAGUAGGGAAAGUUUUUCGGUGUAGGAUGAGACUAUAUAGUAUCAGCUAGUUGGUAAGGUAAUGGCUUACCAAGGCUAUGACGCUUAACUGGUCUGAGAGGAUGAUCAGUCACACUGGAACUGAGACACGGUCCAGACUCCUACGGGAGGCAGCAGUAGGGAAUAUUGCGCAAUGGGGGAAACCCUGACGCAGCAACGCCGCGUGGAGGAUGACACUUUUCGGAGCGUAAACUCCUUUUCUUAGGGAAGAAUUCUGACGGUACCUAAGGAA
This 459-nucleotide ribosomal RNA is filed under the name Salmonella enterica subsp. enterica serovar Montevideo. RNAcentral describes it as "bacterial SSU rRNA". It matches the Rfam family "Bacterial small subunit ribosomal RNA", at positions 12 to 486 of the family's 1533-position model. Lineage: Bacteria; Pseudomonadati; Pseudomonadota; Gammaproteobacteria; Enterobacterales; Enterobacteriaceae. The record is from RNAcentral.